RNAcentral lists this ribosomal RNA (858 nucleotides) under uncultured euryarchaeote. RNAcentral's name for it is "bacterial SSU rRNA". It matches the Rfam family "Archaeal small subunit ribosomal RNA", at positions 1 to 879 of the family's 1478-position model. The record is from RNAcentral. Lineage: Archaea; Methanobacteriati; Methanobacteriota.
UUCCGGUUGAUCCCGCCGGAGGCGACCGCUUUGGGAGUUCGAUUAAGCCAUGCGAGUCGUGAGUCUUAGGGACUCGGCAUACUGCUCAGUAACACGUGGGUAACCUGCCCUAUCGUCUGGAAUAACCUCGGGAAACUGAGAAUAAGGCCGGAUAGUUCACAAUGCCUGGAACGGUUUGUGAAUCAAGGUAGGAUGGGUCUGCGGCGUAUCAGGUUGUAGGGGGUGUAAAGGACCCCCUAGCCUUCGACGCGUACGGGUGUUGGGAGACAUAGCCCGGAGAUGGAUUCUGAGACACGAAUCCAGACCCUACGGGGUGCAGCAGGCGCGAAAACUUCACACUGCAGGAAACUGUGAUGAGGGAACUCCUAGUGCAUGCACUAUGUGUAUGUAGAUCCUACUCUUAACAAGUAGAGGGAAAGGGCUGGGAAAGACCGGUGCCAGCCGCCGCGGUAAUACCGGCAGCUCAAGUGGUCGUCGCUUUUAUUGGGCCUAAAACGUCCGUAGCCUGUUUGGUAAAUCUGUGGGUAAAUCAAUCCGCUCAACGGAUUGAAUUCUGCAGAGACUGCCAGACUAGGGACCGGGAGAGGUGUGGGGUACUCGAGGGGUAGGGGUAAAAUCCUGUCAUCCUUCGAGGACCACCAGUUGCGAAGGCGCCACACUGGAACGGAUCCGACGGUCAGGGACGAAGCCUAGGGGCACGAACCGGAUUAGAUACCCGGGUAGUCCUAGGUGUAAACGCUGUGAACUUGGUGUCGGGGGUCCGCAAGGGGUCCCCGGUGCCGGAGUGAAGAUGUUAAGUUCGCUGCCUGGGGAGUACGGUCGCAAGGCUGAAACUUGAAGGAAUUGGCGGGGCAGCAC